This is an RNA transcript of Prunus dulcis (almond), 5445 nucleotides long. It is a transcript of the gene named probable serine/threonine-protein kinase SIS8, with no coding region annotated. NCBI's taxonomy places the organism in Eukaryota, Viridiplantae, Streptophyta, Magnoliopsida, Rosales, Rosaceae. The transcript has 15 exons. The record is from RefSeq and is a predicted model, not a curated record.
GAGAGAGAGAGAGUGAACCAGUAAAUAAGCAGCUGGCUGUGAACUUGUGUUUCCCACCAAUUUAACCUUUUUUAUGGGACUGAAAAUCCUUCAAAAACUUAUUUUUCUUUCCUCUCAACUCAAGUGGGUCAUUCUUUUCGAGGUCCUACUCUCCCACUUGCUGGUCUUUGCUGUCUCUGCCUCUGUUACCUGCCCCCUUUUUUUUAUUUUUUUAUUUCAAACUCUACCAAUACCCUUCUCUAUUUUCUAUGCUUUUCCUUAUUUUUUUUGUUUAUGAAUACAGAGUAAGAUCCAUUUCUCUCAGUUGGGGAUUCUAUUUUCUGGAAAUUAUGCUGCUUGAAGGUAACAUGGAUCAAAGUUUCGAUAUUUGAUACAGUUGUGUUGUGUUUGCUAGUUUUGGUAUUUGUUUGUGGCUUGAAAUACAGUAGUGGGGUUUUUGGCUAUGUGGGAAGCAGGGUGGCCUGGUUUAAUCUAAGCAUCUGGGAUUGUUGAUAUUGGUAAAGCUUUACUGGGUAUUGCUUGGGAUGGUGGUUUAUGGCUUUUGGAUGUGAUGGGUUGGUUGCGGGUCACUUGUGGGGUUUUUACUCUGUAAAGGGGCUGUUAAGUGUUGAGCAAAAAGGGUUUUUUGGAUUACUUUGAACUUGUUUCCUUUGUGGUGGUGAUAGAGUGCUUCAGAUUUCAUGCUUGGUCCAAGACAAUGGAGAUGCUUGUGGCCAGAUUUUUAUUGCUUUCGCAUUCGAUAUUGUAACUUAUGAAAUAAUAUGAAGAACCUUCUUAAGAAACUGCAUAUCAUGUCCAAUCAAUCAGAAGAUGCUCAAGGGUCUGCUUCAUCAAGGGGCAAUAAGUCUACUGAUAAGUCGUCGCCCCCUGAAACUGAAAGGCUUUUGCACUCAAGGUCCCAUCAUAACUCUGAGCACAAAACCUUUUCGGGGCUAUCGGGUUGGUUGAAUUCAGUUUCUAAUAGACAUAGCCCCAGUCCCCCAUCAUCUUCAAAUGUCGCUAGGGCGGCAGAGAGAAUGGAGCCACCUGAUGCAGCUAGUAGGAGUGGUUUAGACGUUGUUUCAGAUACAGCUAGGCGCGAUUCGGGGUCUAGUACCUCAAGGGAUGCUGACAUAGCGGAAGAGUAUCAGAUUCAACUGGCUUUGGAGUUGAGUGCUCGGGAGGAUCCAGAAGCAGUUCAGAUUGAGGCUGUUAAGCAGAUUAGCUUGGGCUCUUGCGCUCCUGAUAAUACCCCAGCUGAAGUUAUUGCCUACCGUUAUUGGAAUUACAAUGCUCUUAGCUAUGAUGACAAGAUCUUGGAUGGUUUCUAUGAUCUGUAUGGGAUAUUGACAGAGUCAACCUCAGAGAGAAUGCCUUCUCUUGUUGAUCUGCAAGGAACACCUGUUUCAGAUAGUGUCACCUGGGAAGCUGUUUUAGUCAACAGAGCUGCUGAUGCGAACUUGUUGAAACUUGAACAGAUGGCCCUAGAAAUGGCUGUAAAGUCAAGUUCAGAUCCUCUGGUUUUUGUAAACAAAAAUCUGGUGCGCAAACUUGCUCUUUUAGUUGCUGACUACAUGGGUGGACCAGUUGCGGAUCCUGACAACAUGUUGAGAGCAUGGCAAAGUCUUAGUUACAAUUUGAAAGCUACCAUUGGUAGCAUGGUUUUGCCACUUGGUUCUCUGACAAUUGGAUUGGCCCGUCAUCGUGCAUUGUUGUUCAAGGCUUUGGCUGAUAGUGUGAGCAUCCCAUGCCGGUUGGUGAAAGGACAACAAUACACGGGCUCCAAUGAUGUGGCGAUGAACUUUGUAAAGAUUGAUGAUGGAAGGGAGUAUAUUGUUGAUCUGAUGGCAGACCCCGGCACACUUAUUCCAUCUGAUGCAGCUGGAUCACAUAUAGAAUAUGACGAAUCUUACUUUUCUGCCAGUCCUUUGUCUAGAGACAUUGAUUCCUCUCAUGUUGCUUCUUCCAGUAGUGGAGUUGGGAGUUCGUUUGAAGAACAUUCAGACUUUGGAACAUUAGACAAGAAAUCCAGGUUAAGAAAUUUUGCUUCUUCAGCAAGGGAUUCUGAAGAGAGAGAAGAACCAGAUUCUCGUGCAAAUCUACCCAGACCAACUGAACGUGGGGAAGAAUCCAAGAUACCUUCAGAUGAAUUUAGAUAUCCCUCUAAUUCUGAGAAGGCGCUGGUGCAGGAACUUCCAGGAAGGCCAAAUUAUCCUUUUGCGCAUGCAAGAUCCCCUUCAUGGACUGAAGGUGUUAGCUUUCCUGCUGCUCGAAGAAUGAAGGUUAAGGAUGUUUCUCAAUACAUGAUUGUUGCUGCCAAAGAGAAUCCGCAUCUAGCUCAAAAACUUCAUGACGUGUUACUUGAAAGUGGUGUUGUUGCUCCCCCAAACUUGUUUAGGGAAAUAUAUCCAGAGCAGUUAGAUGUGUCAACAGUUGAGACCAAGCCCCGGCCAGAAGAUAUGGGUGAAAAUAAAGAGAGGUUUGAAACACAAAAAAUUAAAGGUCAAGAUGAUAAAAGUCCAGCUCACUUUUUGCCUCCUCUGCCUCAGCACAGGGUGCAUUUUAAAGCUAGUCCUUCAUGUCAACUAGAGCAUCUUAAGCCCGUGGAAGGUUUAGGGGUCAACCUUCCACUUGAUACCGGGGAAGUAACUGGCCAGUCUGAAGUAUCUCCAUCUAAGUAUACAAAAAAUGUCCCUGUUGCUGCAGCCGCAGCCGCAGCAGCAGCUGUUGUGGCAUCUUCAAUGGUAGUUGCUGCAGCAAAGUCAAGCACUGACUCAAAUCUGGAACUUCCUGUGGCAGCUGCUGCAACUGCUACUGCUGCAGCUGUGGUUGCAACAACUGCAGCUGUCAGUAAGCAGUAUGACCAGGGCAUAAGAAGUGAUGGAGAUGCAGAAGGUUCUGGUUAUGAACCACGGGGCAGUGGUGACCGUCAUGAUGCUUUUGGAGUUAAUUUGGAAGGCGAGAGAACAUCAGAUCGAUCGGCAGGUAAUGACAGUACAAAAUCUGACAUUACAAUUGAUGAUGUCGCAGAUUGCGAGAUUCCAUGGGAGGAUAUCACCUUGGGUGAGCGUAUUGGACUUGGAUCAUAUGGGGAGGUCUAUCAUGGAGACUGGCAUGGGACUGAGGUUGCUGUAAAGAGGUUUCUAGACCAAGACUUUUUGGGCGAAUCACUUGAUGAAUUCAGAAGUGAGGUCCGGAUAAUGAAAAGACUCAGGCAUCCCAAUGUUGUUCUCUUCAUGGGUGCAAUAACUCGUGCUCCAAAUCUUUCCAUUGUUACAGAAUUUCUUCCAAGAGGUAGUUUAUAUAGGUUAAUACACCGGCCUAACAAUCAAUUAGAUGAGCGAAGACGCUUGAGGAUGGCUCUUGAUGCUGCUCGGGGAAUGAAUUACUUGCAUAACUGCACUCCAGUAAUAGUACACCGUGAUUUGAAGUCUCCAAAUCUUCUUGUUGAUAAGAACUGGGUUGUGAAGGUCUGCGAUUUCGGAUUAUCAAGAAUGAAGAACAGCACAUUUCUUUCCUCGAGGUCCACUGCAGGGACGGCAGAAUGGAUGGCUCCAGAAGUGCUAAGAAAUGAACCUUCCGAUGAAAAAUGCGAUGUCUAUAGCUAUGGGGUCAUCUUAUGGGAGCUCUCUACAAUGCAACAGCCAUGGGGGGGAAUGAAUCCAAUGCAAGUUGUUGGUGCAGUUGGAUUUCAACAUCGCCGUCUUGAUAUUCCAGAUGAUAUAGAUCCUGCAAUUGCAGAUCUCAUUAGAAAAUGCUGGCAGACAGAUCCAAAAUUGAGACCCUCUUUUGCUGAGAUCAUGGCUACUCUGAAACCGUUGCAGAAGCCUGUAAGUAGUUCUCAAGUGCACAGACCUAGCAGUGGGCGUGAGAAGGUUCAGCCAUCUUGAGUUGGAGAAUCCCCAGCUGGCUAAAAGAGUAAAUUUACCCCCACUGAAUAUUUGGCUCAUUCGACAGCCAAAAUAUGGAUGGAUGCAAGUUGUACAUUGAUUGGAACAACUUUUGAGAAAGGAUUGAAGAUCAUGACCUAACAUAUACUCCAUUUUGAGAUUUGCCAUUUUCUUUUCUUCUUUUAUGUUUUCCUCUUUAUUUCUGUUUUCUCAACAGUGCGGCCAUUCGCAAGGUUGUGCAUUUGUUUGUAAAGAAUUCAUUGGAAAUUGUUGUAAUCAAUGUUUUGAUUUCCGGUGUCCAUCCAUCGGAAGAGCGUUUUGUUGCCUGAACUUAAGAUAAAAAGCAGUAGUGUUAAUGGCAAAUGACUUUUUGGUGAAUCAAUUUUCCAGGUCAUUCUCUACAUUUCAAAGAGCUCCUCAAUCCUGGAUAAUCUCCGUCGCUGUACAUAAAUGCCACAGAGGUAGCAACACAGUGGGCUUGCUUGUUUUUCAUUUCGAACUGGUCCCAACUUAAUAGAAACAGAAAAAAGGGCAACCCACCAUUUAUAUUUUGCAUCAUAUACAAGGAUAAGGUAGGGACCAGCGGCUACUUAUGUUUAACUUGGCAAAUUUAUCUAGAUUUUAUCAUCGCUUGGCUAUCCUAAACAAAUGGCCACCUUCUCUGGUUCUUCCCCAUUUCUCUCCCACUCCCUAACAAGACCAAGCCACUUUUCUUCUUCUUCUUCAUCAUCACAAACGCCUCCUCCUGUUCCUCCACAAAAUCUGCCUUCACAACCACAUUCUCCAACACCAAUUCAGCAGCUCAGCACAGCUUCAUCGGAGCAGCCGAAAACGCCAGUCUCAGUAAAAGCAGAGCAACAGAAAGCUGCAUCUUCUAGCAGCACCACCAAGAGCACCAAGACCAAGGCUGACUCUACAGAUUGGAUAGCUUCCACGUUAACCAGGCGGUUUGGGAUUGGAGCUGGCCUUGCCUGGGCUGCCUUUCUCACAGUGGGCGUGGUCUCUGAACAAAUUAAGACCCGCCUUGAAGUCUCCCAACAAGAAUCAAACACAAGAAAUGUUGAGAAAGAAGAAGAGGUGGUGCUACCUAAUGGCAUAAGAUACUACGAGUUAAGAGUUGGUGGGGGGCCUUCUCCAAGGGCAGGAGACUUGGUGGUGAUCGAGCUCAAGGGGAAAGUGGAAGGCAGUGGACAAGUGUUUGUGGAUACAUUUGAGAGAGAGAAGAAGCCUUUGGCUCUGGUAGUUGGGUCCAGGCAGCCCUACAGCAAGGGAGUGUGUGAAGGGAUAGAAUAUGUGCUCAGAUCCAUGAAGGCAGGGGGCAGAAGAAGAGUGCUUGUUCCUCCAAGCUUGGGCUUCGGUGAGAAUGGUGCAGAUUUAGGUCCUGGUCUGCAAAUUCCUCCGUUUGCAACUCUAGAAUACAUUAUUGAGGUCGAUAGAGUCUCUAUUGCACCCGCAUGAUCAUAUUCAUAUUCUUGUCUUUGUUAAUUUUAUAUUAUUUUGAUUAUCGAGAUCGAUGAAGAAAUUUGUAAUAGAUUUUGUAUUUUAUGGAACACAUGAAUGUAUUUGUAUUUUCAUU